UCAAGCGAACAAGGGCGCAGGGCGAAUGCCUUGGCACUGGGAGCCGAUGAAAGACGUGAUAAGCUGCGAUAAGCUUCGGGGAGCUGCAAAUAAGCAUUGAUCCGGAGAUUUCUGAAUGAGGAAACUCACUCAGGUUCAUACCUGAGUACGUUGUACUGAAAUUCAAAAUAGGUACAUCGGGGGAACCGCCUGAACUGAAACAUCUAAGUAGGGCGAGGAAGAGACAUCAAACGAGAUUCCGUAAGUAGUGGCGAGCGAACGCGGAAGAGGGCAAACCGGGAGUAGAAAUACUUCCGGGGUACGGACUGCUUUUAGGACUCGAUCUGUUAACCGAACGGCAUGGGAAGGCCGGUCAGAGAGUGUGAGAACCACGUAGGUGAAAACGGAAAGAGCUGCGCAGAAUCCAGAGUACGGCCAGACACGUGAAACCUGGUCGGAAGAUGGGGGGACCACCCUCCAACCCUAAAUACUACCCAGUGACCGAUAGCGUAUAGUACUGUGAAGGAAAGGUGAAAAGCACCCCGGGAGGGGAGUGAAAAAGAACCUGAAACCCUGUGCCUACAAGCACCUAGAGCACGUCAAUGUGUGAUAGGGUACUUUUUGUAGAACGGUCCGGCGAGCGAUUGUAUGCAGCAAGGUUAAGGACUUAAGGUCUGGAGCCGAAGCGAAAGCGAGUUUGAAAAGGGCGUUAAGUUGCAUAUAAUGGGCCCGAAACCGGGUGACCUACCCAUGGUCAGGUUGAAGUGGAAGUAAAAUUCCAUGGAGGACCGAACCGACCUCCGUUGAAAAGGCGGCGGAUGAACUGUGGGUAGCGGAGAAAUUCCAAUCGAACCCGGAGAUAGCUGGUUCUCCCCGAAAUAGUUUUAGGACUAGCCUCAAGUUAGAUACCUGGAGGUAAAGCACUGAAUAGCCUAGCGGCCGAGAGGUUAGCGAAGCUUAUCAAACUCAGAAUGCCAGAGUAUUGAUGCUUGGGAGUCAGACAGUGUCAGAUAAAUGUCAUUGUCAAAAGGGAAACAGCCCAGAUCUACAGCUAAGGUCCCAAAGUCAGGUUAAGUGGAAAACGAUGUGAAGAUACGCAGACAACCAGGAUGUUGGCUCAGAAGCAGCCACUCAUUCAAAGAGUGCGUAAUAGCUCACUGGUCGAGCGUCUUUGCGCGGAGAAUUUAACGGGGCUAAACCUGACACCGAAGCUUAGGCAAUCCAGCAAUGGAUUGGGUAGGGGAGCGUUGUAUACGCGGAGAAACAGUAGCGUAAGCGGCUGUGGAGUGUAUAGAAGUGAGAAUGCCGGAAUGAGUAGCGCGAAUGCAGUGAGAAUCUGCAUGGCCGAAAGCCUCAGGUUUUUGGAGGAAGGUUCGUCCGCUCCAAGUUAGUCGGGAGCUAAGGUGAGGCCGGAAGGCGUAGCCGAUGCACAGACGGUAGAGAUUCCGUCACCACCAAAAGAGUUAAGCACAGGGACACAUUUGAAGUCUCAGAGCCGGGUGUUGGUUCCGGUAGAGAUCGAGGGAAGUUAGUACCGAAGUCUGGGAUGGAAGAUGGCGAGAAAAGCUGUGUGUAUUUCUGAGGUGCCCGUACCGCAAACCGACACAGGUAGGUAGGAAGAAGAUUCUAAGGCCAACGGGAGAAGGGUUGUUAAGGAACUCGGCAAAUUGACCCCGUAACUUCGGGAGAAGGGGUGCUCCAGAGAUGGAGCCGCAGAGAAUCGGCCCAAGCAACUGUUUACCAAAAACACAGGUUUGUGCUAAAUCGAAAGAUGACGUAUACGAGCUGACGCCUGCCCGGUGCUGGAAGGUUAAGAGGAGAUGUGCAAGCAUUGAAUCGAAGCCCCAGUGAACGGCGGCCGUAACUAUAACGGUCCUAAGGUAGCGAAAUUCCUUGUCAGGUAAGUUCUGACCCGCAUGAAAGGCGUAAUGAUUUGGGCACUGUCUCAACAGCCCGCCCGGCGAAAUUGUAGUACCGGUGAAGAUGCCGGUUACCCGCGACAAGACGGAAAGACCCCAUGGAGCUUUACUGUAGCCUAAUAUUGGGUUUCGAUGUUGCAUGCACAGGAUAGAUGGGACACUAGGAAACAAUCGCUUUGGCGGUUGCGGAGUGGCCGUUGGGAUACCAUCCUUGCGAUAUUGGAAUUCUAACCUGCGGCUCUGAAUCGAGUCGGGGGACAUUGUUAGGUGGGCAGUUUGACUGGGGCGGUCGCCUCCUAAAAAGUAACGGAGGCG
This 2213-nucleotide ribosomal RNA is filed under the name human gut metagenome. RNAcentral describes it as "bacterial LSU rRNA". It matches the Rfam family "Bacterial large subunit ribosomal RNA", at positions 3 to 2308 of the family's 2925-position model. The record is from RNAcentral.